UACGAAGGGGACUAGCGUUGUUCGGAAUCACCGGGCGUAAAGCGUGCGCAGGCGGUUUUGCAAGCCGGAUGUGAAAUCCCCGGGCUUAACCUGGGAAUGGCAUUUGGGACUGCAAGGCUGGAGUGCGGCAGAGGAGACUGGAAUUCCUGGUGUAGCGGUGAAAUGCGCAGAUAUCAGGAAGAACACCUAUGGCGAAGGCAGCUCUCUGGGACGGUACUGACGCUGAGACGCGAAAGCGUGGGGAGCGAACAGG
This 253-nucleotide ribosomal RNA is filed under the name uncultured bacterium. RNAcentral describes it as "partial 16S ribosomal RNA". It matches the Rfam family "Bacterial small subunit ribosomal RNA", at positions 524 to 776 of the family's 1533-position model. The record is from RNAcentral.